This is a small nucleolar RNA of Humulus lupulus (European hop), 106 nucleotides long. The record is from RefSeq and is a predicted model, not a curated record. NCBI's taxonomy places the organism in Eukaryota, Viridiplantae, Streptophyta, Magnoliopsida, Rosales, Cannabaceae.
AUUCCAUGAUGGGGACACUUCCUUAAAAACCCCUUGAAGCGCUCCCAUCCAUCAUACAAUGUCUCCCUGUCAUCUAGUGGAAAUUAAUAAUUUCACCUCUCAACUU